Molecule: ribosomal RNA, 506 nt
Filed under: uncultured bacterium
Lineage: Bacteria
Description: partial 16S ribosomal RNA
Rfam family: Bacterial small subunit ribosomal RNA
Source: RNAcentral
GAUGAACGCUAGCUACAGGCUUAACACAUGCAAGUCGAGGGGUAACGAGAGGAAAGCUUGCUUUCCUUGUCGACGACCGGCGCACGGGUGAGUAACGCGUAUCCAACCUGCCCCCAACUAGGGAAUAACCUUGCGAAAGUAAGACUAAUACCCUAUAAUUUCCUCAGAUGACAUCUGACGAGGAAUAAAGAUUUAUCGGUUGUGGAUGGGGAUGCGUCUGAUUAGCUUGUUGGCGGGGUAACGGCCCACCAAGGCAACGAUCAGUAGGGGUUCUGAGAGGGAGGUCCCCACCAUUGGAACUGAGACACGGUCCAAACUCCUACGGGAGGCAGCAGUGAGGAAUAUUGGUCAAUGGGCGGAAGCCUGAACCAGCCAAGUAGCGUGCAGGAUGACGGCCCUAUGGGUUGUAAACUGCUUUUAUACAGGAAUAAAGUUAGCCACGUGUGGUUAUUUGUAGGUACUGUAUGAAUAAGGACCGGCUAAUUCCGUGCCAGCCGCCGCGGUAA